Molecule: ribosomal RNA, 273 nt
Filed under: uncultured prokaryote
Description: partial 16S ribosomal RNA
Rfam family: Bacterial small subunit ribosomal RNA
Source: RNAcentral
AACGUAGGAGCCAAGCGUUAUCCGAAUUCACUGGGCGUAAAGCGCGUGCAGGCGGCAUGAUAAGUUGGAUGUGAAAUCUCCUGGCUCAACUGGGAGGGGACGUUCAAUACUGUCAAGCUAGAGGACGGCAGAGGGAGGUGGAAUUCCCGGUGUAGUGGUGAAAUGCGUAGAUAUCGGGAGGAACACCAGUGGCGAAAGCGGCCUUCUGGGCCGAUCCUGACGCUCAGACGCGAAAGCUAGGGGAGCGAACGGGAUUAGAUACCCUAGUAGUCC